Molecule: ribosomal RNA, 253 nt
Filed under: uncultured bacterium
Lineage: Bacteria
Description: partial 16S ribosomal RNA
Rfam family: Bacterial small subunit ribosomal RNA
Source: RNAcentral
UACGUAGGGGGCUAGCGUUGUCCGGAUUUAUUGGGCGUAAAGCGCUCGUAGGCGGCCGUUCGCGUCGGAUGUGAAAGCUCAGGGCUCAACUCUGAGACGCCAUUCGAUACGGGACGGCUAGAGGUAGGUAGGGGAAAGUGGAAUUCCUGGUGUAGCGGUGAAAUGCGCAGAUAUCAGGAGGAACACCGGUGGCGAAGGCGGCUUUCUGGGCCUUACCUGACGCUGAGGAGCGAAAGCUGGGGGAGCGAACGGG